CAAGGAAACAAGAGUUUGUUGAGCUUGAUUCUAAUCUGGCACUGUGAAGAGACAGGAGAGGUGUAAAAUAAGUGAGAGGCCUCUGGGCUGCUGAUGAAAUACCACUACUAAUCAUUUUUUUCACUUUACGUGGUGAGGUGAGGUGGGGCAAGCCCCGAAGUGCUCUUGCUCCUGGCUCCAAAUGUCCGGUGUGUGCUGGGCACAAAGAGCUCCAGGGGCAGUGUCAGCUGGGGAGUUUGACUGGGCCAAUACACCUGUCAAACUAUAACACUGAUGUCCUAAAGUGAGGUCAGGAAGGACAGACAUCUCCUGUAGACCAAAAGGGCAAAAAAACUCACUUGAUCUUGAUUUGAAGUAUGAAUACAGACUGUGAAAGCAGGGCCUCAUGAUUCUUCUGACUUUUUGUGUUUUAAGCAGGAGGUGUCAGAAAAGUUACCACAGGGAUAACUGGCUUGAGAUGUCCCAGGCAUUCAUAGCAACAUGAUAUUUUGAGGAUAGGCAGCGACUUCCCUGCUUUCCCCUG
Molecule: non-coding RNA, 523 nt
Filed under: Chelonia mydas (Green sea turtle)
Lineage: Eukaryota; Metazoa; Chordata; Testudines; Cheloniidae
Description: Eukaryotic large subunit ribosomal RNA
Rfam family: Eukaryotic large subunit ribosomal RNA
Source: Rfam by way of RNAcentral